AGAGCGAACGCUGGCGGCAGGCCUAACACAUGCAAGUCGAGCGCCCGUAGCAAUACGGGAGCGGCAGACGGGAGAGUAACACGUGGGAACGUGCCCUUCAGUUCGGAACAACCCAGGGAAACUUGGGCUAAUACCGGAUACGCCCUUACGGGGAAAGAUUUAUCGCUGAAGGAGCGGCCCGCGUCUGAUUAGCUAGUUGGUGGGGUAAUGGCCCACCAAGGCGACGAUCAGUAGCUGGUCUGAGAGGAUGAUCAGCCUCACUGGGACUGAGACACGGCCCAGACUCCUACGGGAGGCAGCAGUGGGGAAUAUUGGACAAUGGGCGCAAGCCUGAUCCAGCCAUGCCGCGUGGGUGAUGAAGGCCCUAGGGUUGUAAAGCCCUUUCGGCGGGGAAGAUAAUGACGGUACCCGCAGAAGAAGCCCGGCUAACUUCGUGCCAGCAGCCGC
Molecule: ribosomal RNA, 447 nt
Filed under: uncultured bacterium
Lineage: Bacteria
Description: SSU rRNA
Rfam family: Bacterial small subunit ribosomal RNA
Source: RNAcentral